Molecule: non-coding RNA, 105 nt
Organism: Orbilia javanica
Lineage: Eukaryota; Fungi; Ascomycota; Orbiliomycetes; Orbiliales; Orbiliaceae
Source: the annotation of a GenBank genome assembly
GCCCGGUUAGCUCAAUCGGUAGAGCGUAAGACUCUUACAAUCCUGGCAACAGUUGCCAUGGAAACUGGGAUCUUAAGGCUGCGGGUUCGACCCCCGCAUCGGGCU